GACGAACGCUGGCGGCGUGCUUAACACAUGCAAGUCGAGCGGUAAGGCCCUUUCGGGGGUACGACGAGCGGCGAACGGGUGAGUAACACGUGGGUGACCUGCCCUCAGCUCUGGGAUAAGCCUGGGAAACCGGGUCUAAUACUGGAUAUGACUCCAUGACGCAUGUUGUGGGGUGGAAAGCCUUGUGCGGCUGAGGAUGGGCCCGCGGCCUAUCAGCUUGUUGGUGGGGUGANGGCCUACCAAGGCGACGACGGGUAGCCGGCCUGAGAGGGCGACCGGCCACACUGGGACUGAGACACGGCCCAGACUCCUACGGGAGGCAGCAGUGGGGAAUCUUGCGCAAUGGGCGAAAGCCUGACGCAGCGAUGCCGCGUGUGUGAAGAAGGCCUGCGGGGUUGUAAAAGCACUUUCAGUAGGGAAGAAAAGCCGAGUGCUAAUAUCACUCGGUCUUGACGUUACUUACAGAAGAAGCACCGGCUAACUCCGUGCCAGCAGCCG
Molecule: ribosomal RNA, 498 nt
Filed under: uncultured bacterium
Lineage: Bacteria
Description: bacterial SSU rRNA
Rfam family: Bacterial small subunit ribosomal RNA
Source: RNAcentral